AUACGAAGGGAGCUAGCGUUGUUCGGAAUUACUGGGCGUAAAGCGCACGUAGGUGGACUGGUCAGUUGAGGGUGAAAUCCCAGGGCUCAACCCUGGAACUGCCUUCAAUACUGCCAGCCUUGAGUCCGAGAGAGGUGAGUGGAAUUCCUAGUGUAGAGGUGAAAUUCGUAGAUAUUAGGAAGAACACCAGUGGCGAAGGCGGCUCACUGGCUCGGUACUGACGCUGCGGUGCGAAAGCGUGGGGAGCAAACAGGAUUAGAAACCCCUGUAGUCC
Molecule: ribosomal RNA, 274 nt
Filed under: uncultured bacterium
Lineage: Bacteria
Description: partial 16S ribosomal RNA
Rfam family: Bacterial small subunit ribosomal RNA
Source: RNAcentral